RNAcentral lists this transfer RNA (66 nucleotides) under Loxosomella aloxiata. Its description in RNAcentral is "tRNA-Phe". Lineage: Eukaryota; Metazoa; Entoprocta; Loxosomatidae. The record is from RNAcentral.
AUUUAAGUAGCUCAAAAUAAGAGCGUAACAUUGAAGCCGUUAAAGUGAUAAUAUUAUCCUUAAAUA